GGAUAAGCUAACUGUAAGUUGCUCUGGAUAAGAGUGUCUGCUAAAUGACUCAAA
This is a non-coding RNA of Salmo salar (Atlantic salmon), 54 nucleotides long. NCBI's taxonomy places the organism in Eukaryota, Metazoa, Chordata, Actinopteri, Salmoniformes, Salmonidae. The record is from Rfam.